Molecule: transfer RNA, 71 nt
Filed under: Sandaracinaceae bacterium LLY-WYZ-13_1
Lineage: Bacteria; Pseudomonadati; Myxococcota; Polyangiales; Sandaracinaceae
Description: tRNA-Ala
Source: RNAcentral
GGGGUGCCCCACCGGGCGUGGAGCCCUCCCUUGCACGGAGGGCGUGAUGGGUUCGACUCCCAUGCGCUCCA